This is a long non-coding RNA of Chinchilla lanigera (long-tailed chinchilla), 1667 nucleotides long. RefSeq lists it as uncharacterized. The record is from RefSeq and is a predicted model, not a curated record. Lineage: Eukaryota; Metazoa; Chordata; Mammalia; Rodentia; Chinchillidae. The transcript has 3 exons.
AAUGAACCCACACCCACCUAGUUUUGCCUUCCUUGAGUGAAAUGCGUUUAUUUAGCAUAAGUGAGAAGGGUAAACAAAACUAGUCUUUUUUUUUAAGGUGCAAGGAGUCGAUUGGUGAUAAUAAAACCAGAAAUGCCAUUUGGAUGAAGUGACACGGCUUGUGCUUGCAUAGUGUACUCCUGCCGUGAUGUCCCUGUGAAAUAGGUAAGCACAGCACGUGCUGCCAUAGGGCACGUCUGCAGAUUGGAAACUUACUGUUCUGACGUUUGCCUUGGCUUUUCUUUCAAGGCCAGAAACCAGCGACAGAGACAGAGAUGGUCAGGGGGAGGGGCGAGAAAAGAAAAAAAUGAAGGAAGAGAAAGGGAGGGAGGAAAGGAAAAGACACGAUUGCCCUGUAUGUCAUGUCACGGACGUGGACCCUGAGAGCCCGCUUCUGCUUGUGUCUCCCUCUGCAAGAGGAGGGCUGAGGAACUGGAAAAUAAAAGGACAAACAAGGUAUCAGAGCAGACCACGGCUGCCUCCUCGCCUUGAAAUGUUCUUGGACUCGGGAAGUCGAUAGACAAGAUGCAAUUGUGUUUCGCUACACUGGGGUCUCCGGCACUCUGAGAGGUGCCCGGGAGGAGCGAGCCCUGAACUGCCCUCUUCCCGGCGCCCUUCACGCCGUCCAGGAACAGCCGGCUGUGUGGACUCGGUUGCAGCAGAGCUCCGGCCCGCUUCCUAAGCAGCGCCUCGUCUGGCUGCGUGGACACCCUGACCAGCAGAGCGGGGAGUGCUCGGUGGUAGCAGCUCACUGAGUUCUCCUGGGGUAACGUGGAGGGAGGGAGAGCGCCAUUCUUAAGACCUCAGACGGAGGACAGUUGUGCGAUUCCCUCCUGGCUGCCGCUGUGAACCCUGACACCACCAGCCAACUCGCUCCUUUACCAUUGCUUCCCCCUCCUGCCUGUGUAUUCAACGAGUAUUUGUUGAAUCAAACUGAGAACCACAAAGGGAGAAGGCGGGGCAGGGAGUCCCAGCAGAGCAGGGGCUGCAGUCUGGGCCAAGCCUCGCAACCUGGCACGGGGCUGGCGCCCAGGGCUCCACGCAGGUUUUUGGCCAGCGAGACUCGGAGGCCGGCCAGCAGCGCACCAGUUGCUCUUCUGCUCGUUAUCUGUAUUCAGGGUGGCUGACGUAAGACGUAAUUUAGGUGAACACCAGCAAGAGAAAAAUGCAGUGGGCGUAAGAAGAAUUAGGACGUGUUAUGUCCAGGCACCAACUCCCCUCGGAGGAUGGAGUCAUCGUGCGCUGCAACAUGGACUAACCAAGUCUAGAGCUCUUGGCCCUAAACGUCUCUAAUAAAGCGCUGAGGUCACCAACACUUGCCUCGCAGCGGGUACAGUUCUACCAGCUUCACCAAAAGCCCACACCAUGAGGCUGGCCUGUGGCACCUGCCCUCGACAGAUGACAAAGCAACCCUGCAAGGCGGUGCUCACCCUUCCAACUUUCUGAAAUGGAGGAAAUAAUAUCUGUCCCUGACCACGUGCAGCUACUGAGCAUCAGAAAUGUGCCUGGCAUAGCUGAGAAGAUGGACUUCUACCUAAAUUAUGAUUAGAUUUAAAUAGCUACACGUGGAGCAGGCAUGGUGGCACAUGCCUGUAAUCCCAACACUCGAGAGUCUGAGGCAGGAGGGU